Molecule: ribosomal RNA, 951 nt
Filed under: uncultured bacterium
Lineage: Bacteria
Description: bacterial SSU rRNA
Rfam family: Bacterial small subunit ribosomal RNA
Source: RNAcentral
UAAUACGUAGGGGGCAAGCGUUGUCCGGAAUCACUGGGCGUAAAGGGCGCGUAGGCGGUUUGUUAAGUCAGGUGUGAAAGUUUUCAGCUUAACUGGAAAAGUGCACUUGAAACUAACUUACUUGAGUACUGGAGAGGUAAGCGGAAUUCCUAGUGUAGCGGUGAAAUGCGUAGAUAUUAGGAAGAACACCGGUGGCGAAGGCGGCUUACUGGACAGAGACUGACGCUGAGGCGCGAAAGCGUGGGGAGCGAACAGGAUUAGAUACCCUGGUAGUCCACGCCGUAAACGAUGAGUAUUAGGUGUUGCCGAGAGGCAGUGCCGCAGUUAACGCAAUAAAUACUCCGCCUGGGGAGUACGGCCGCAAGGUUGAAACUCAAAGGAAUUGACGGGGGCCCGCACAAGCAGCGGAGCAUGUGGUUUAAUUCGAAGCAACGCGAAGAACCUUACCAGAACUUGACAUCGUCUGAAUCAUCCGUAAUGGGAAAAAUCCUUCGGGACAGACAGACAGGUGGUGCAUGGUUGUCGUCAGCUCGUGUCGUGAGAUGUUGGGUUAAGUCCCGCAACGAGCGCAACCCUUAUUGCUAGUUGCCAUCAUUAAGUUGGGCACUCUAGUGAGACUGCCGGAGACAAUUCGGAGGAAGGUGGGGAUGACGUCAAAUCAUCAUGCCCCUUAUGUUCUGGGCUACACACGUGCUACAAUGGGUGUAACAACGGGAAGCGAGCUGGUGACAGCAAGCCAACCUCUAAAAAGCACCCUCAGUUCGGAUUGCAGGCUGAAACCCGCCUGCAUGAAGUUGGAGUUGCUAGUAAUCGCGAAUCAGCAUGUCGCGGUGAAUACGUUCCCGGGCCUUGUACACACCGCCCGUCACACCAUGGGAGUUGGAAGCACCCGAAGCCGGUGACUUAACCGCAAGGAGAGAGCCGUCGAAGGUGAAGCCAGCGACUGGGGUG